ACGAAAUUCGUUCCUACCCCGUCCUCCACCUCCCUCUGUACCUACUUACUGCCCAGCCCCCUCGCCCACUUACAAUACCCUUAUAUGGUCCUCACUCCUCACCUGCGACGCCUGUCCUCGCCCGCUUCUGAUUGGUGCUAUGAUAUGACGUACAUCUAUAUGUAUGACGUGUGUGUAUGACGUUUGAAUAUAGCGGCCGACGCCGAACGCCGAGCAGUAGCUGUGAAAGGAUCAAUCGAAAGCCAACCGCCGUAGCGGCCUGACGUAUCGUUAUUCAAAGUCUCGGCCGACUGUUUAUUACUUUUGGAUUCUGUCGUCAAAUUUGCAAUACAUACUUCAAGAAAAGAAAAACCGUGUUGGUUAUACGGCUCGAACAAGAGGUCCCCAAACAGACUAUCACAGAAGAAGAAAUUGUUUAUUUACUUUUUACAUUUGUUACAAAUGGUGCCGUGACCCGGAUCAAAUAAAAAACUCAAGAAUUGAAAUUGGUUCCGCAAGAAAUUGCUCUACAAGUCUACGAACAAGAUGUGGGCAAGACCGUUCUUCCUGACAUUCCUGUUCUAUCUGACAUCUCCGACAACGGCCAACGUUCUCUUCCUGCCCCGAGGCCAUCUCUACGCUUCAUACGACCACUGGACUCUUCACAUCCCCAUCGAAACCAGGACAUUAUGGACGUUUGUAUUGAAGCUGGAGCAUCAUGUGAAGCUCUUUAAAAGUAAAGUCAGUAGUAUAUUUGCAGAGCACCGCCAACAAUUGCGAAGUGACCAGGCAAUUCAGCUUUUUGCUAAGUUUAACCAGAGCGUAAAAGUUAUUGACAUUGUAAUAGAUACUUGGUCAAAUGCGGUACUUGUUGAUUUUUCGGAAACUAAUGUUUCACUCCCCGAAGCCGUAAACUUCAUUCCCCCACUUCAGGACAAAAGUGUCCAUUUGUCUAACUUGAAGAAACAUAUUCAACAGAUUCGAGUACGCAAUGCUCAGCAUAAUAAAACUGUCGUUAUCCCCGCCAUCUCGGUCACAACGUGUAUUGUGGUUGCGUUAGUGCUAUUAACUGUUCUAUACGUCCGAUGUCAUGUGUUUAAACCCAUUAUGAUCCGACCCCAGAAAGUAUCCGCUCAAAAUCCUGCCCCUGACAGCGUUAUUGUUGAAGAAACGUCAAGUGUAGCUCCAAAUAUCAAGCCCCGGGAAAAACUCACGGACCCAAGUCCCUCGUGCUUAAAAUGGUUAAAACCGUCUCCAACCCUCGCUUCUCAGAAAUCCGCAGAUGCCUGAUGCAAAUAUUUUCCAGAGGAGUUCUUUCUCCGCAGCAGAGGUACCAGUAGCGGCGCUCCCACACUCGGUCGAGCCGCCGCCGGUGCUAGUCAGCGCCACUGAGAUCGGGCCGCCCCGCAUCGGACACCCCACGUCCGGGCGCCCCGAUAAAACUACGCUGACGCGUGGUCUGGUCAGCCGACACCGGACGGACGACCCACAACAAUACGCGAGACGUGAGAACGUCAAUGUGUCAAUAUCUGACACACGAUCUGGUGUCAAUGGACAAUGGACGGACAAACACGUGUCAGACAGCAGCGUCAAAGGUGACCUAAACCCUCUGAACUCUCUGAACUCCCUGAACUGAUGUGCCCGCAGCGGAAUUUUACCAGUGAUUGCGAAGCGAGAACCGAAUCGAUGAGCACGAGUGGGACAGUAGACUAUGUUUCGUAAGCGGACAAUGAAGAAGACUCUAUAGACUUAUAGCUACGAGGACUACAACGA
RNAcentral lists this long non-coding RNA (1752 nucleotides) under Amphibalanus amphitrite. Its description in RNAcentral is "uncharacterized LOC122388002". The record is from RNAcentral. Lineage: Eukaryota; Metazoa; Arthropoda; Thecostraca; Balanomorpha; Balanidae.